RNAcentral lists this ribosomal RNA (732 nucleotides) under uncultured eukaryote. Its description in RNAcentral is "SSU rRNA". It matches the Rfam family "Eukaryotic small subunit ribosomal RNA", at positions 672 to 1426 of the family's 1831-position model. The record is from RNAcentral.
GGGUGGUACUGCGCUCACGGGCUUUGGACCGGUCUUCGCGGUCGGUAGUCUUAAUUGAUUGCCGCCCGUGGCUGGUUGGUUUACUUUGAGCAAAUCAGAGUGCUCAGCACAGGCGUCUUGCCGGAAUGUUCGUGCAUGGAAUAAUAGAAAAGGAUUUCGGUCCUCUUUUGUUGGUUUUGUGGACUGAGAUAAUGGUUAACAGAGACGACCGGGGGCAUUCGUAUUGCUGCGUGAGAGGUGAAAUUCUUGGACCGCAGCAGGACGAACUACAGCGAAAGCAUUUGCCAAGUGCGUCUUCAUUAAUCAAGAACGAAAGUCAGAGGUUCGAAGGCGAUCAGAUACCGCCCUAGUUCUGACCGUAAACGAUGCCAACUAGCGAUCCGCUGGUGGCCCUUAGGCCCUAGUGGGGAGCUUCCCGGAAACGAAAGUCUUCCGGUUCCGGGGGAAGUAUGGUUGCAAAGCUGAAACUUAAAGGAAUUGACGGAAGGGCACCACCAGGAGUGGAGCCUGCGGCUUAAUUUGACUCAACACGGGAAAACUCACCCGGCCCGGACACCGUGAGGAUUGACAGAUUGAUAGCUCUUUCAUGAUUCGGUGGUUGGUGGUGCAUGGCCGUUCUUAGUUCGUGGAUCGAUUUGUCUGGUUUAUUCCGAUAACGAGCGAGACUCUAGCCUACUAACUAGUGCGGGCAUUGCCGCUGUGCCUCGCCGCACUUCUUAGAGGGAUUGGCUG